Molecule: ribosomal RNA, 640 nt
Filed under: Helminthosphaeria mammillata
Lineage: Eukaryota; Fungi; Ascomycota; Sordariomycetes; Sordariales; Helminthosphaeriaceae
Description: partial 28S ribosomal RNA
Rfam family: Eukaryotic large subunit ribosomal RNA
Source: RNAcentral
GUACCCGCUGAACUUAAGCAUAUCAGUAAGCGGAGGAAAAGAAACCAACAGGGAUUGCCCCAGUAACUGCGAGUGAAGCGGCAACAGCUCAAAUUUGAAAUCCGGCCCCCCCCCAGCCGGGGGCCCGAGUUGUAAUUUGAAGAGGAUGCUUCGGGCGAGGCGCCUUCCGAGUCCCCUGGAACGGGGCGCCACAGAGGGUGAGAGCCCCGUCUGGUCGGACGCCGAGCCCGCGUGAAGCUCCCUCGACGAGUCGAGUAGCUUGGGAAUGCUGCUCUAAGCGGGAGGUAAAUGCCUUCUAAAGCUAAAUACCGGCCAGAGACCGAUAGCGCACAAGUAGGGUGACCGAAAGCUGAAAAGUACCUUGGAAAGAGGGUUAAAAGCACGUGAAAUUGUUGAGGGGGAAGCGCCUGCGGGCCAGAACGCGGGCGCGGCGGAUCACCCGGCGGUCUCCGCCGGCGCACUCCGCCGCGCCCGGGCCAGCGCCGGCCCCCCGGCGGGGGGACAGAGGUCCGGGGAACGUGGCUGCCCCGGCAGUGUUAUAGCCCCGGUCGGACUGCCCCCGCGGGGGCCGAGGAUACCGCGCCUCACGGCAAGGACGCUGGCGUAAUGGGCGCAGGCGGCCCGUCUUGAAACACGGACC